This 255-nucleotide ribosomal RNA is filed under the name uncultured bacterium. Its description in RNAcentral is "partial small subunit ribosomal RNA". It matches the Rfam family "Bacterial small subunit ribosomal RNA", at positions 27 to 285 of the family's 1533-position model. The record is from RNAcentral.
GGGACGAACGCUGGCGGCGUGCUUAACACAUGCAAGUCGAGCGGAAAGGCCCUUCGGGGUACUCGAGCGGCGAACGGGUGAGUAACACGUGAGCAACCUGCCCUUAGCUUCGGGAUAGCUCCAGGAAACCGGAAUUAAAUACCGAAUAUGACUUUGGCUGACAUCAGCAGAAGUGGAAAGUUUUUCGGCUAGGGAUGGACUCGCGGCCUAUCAGCUAGUUGGUGAGGUAACGGCCCACCAAGGCGACGACGGGUA